AAUGUUUAAAUGUAAUUGUUAUAAGUGAACAAAAUGAACGAAUUAUGUGAUUAAUAUUGUAUUCUACAUCAAACUAUAGUUUUGCUAGAAUGUGAUGAAGUAUCACUUAUGGAUACUUACUCUGCUACAUCUCGGAUGUCCUUUUGGAAAGUCACAGAGUCAAUCACAUAGACAAGUCCUUUUGCAGAUAAUUUAAACUGAUCAAAAUAUUUGUAGCGCAAACGUUCAUGACCAGGUAUAUCAACAAUCUUCAGGAAGCGCUGAAUAUUUAACCAAAUUUAAUGGCCUAUGCUUUUGACGUGUGUGUUUUAACAAAUUUAGAACACAGUAGGCGUGCAUAUAUCAGUGUUUUACCAGCAUCACUGAGACCAGUUAAUAGUAUACUGUUUCCCACGGAUCUUUUCUUGCGCCAUAUGGCAAACAAAACUGAAGAAAGAAAUAAAAUGACAAUUUAUAAACAGCAUAGCAAUGCCUACAUAUAAAUCAUUAGUACCAAAAAGAUUGCACUGCAGAGUUGAAUGUAUGGGUACUGGAAUUGUGGCUUGAACAAACUUUCAUACAAGAAUGCAUCUAUUUUUGUAUUACAUAUAUAAUCAUAAUAUUAUGUUUGUUUCAUUCUUAGUAACAAUUUGUAUAUUGUUUCAUAAUUACUGCAGAUAUUAUGACAUAAAUUUAUUUUAAAUAAACAACACAAUGUUUAUAGGAGUUUACAAAUGGUACUGAGACUGUGUAUGAGAUUCAUAGACAUUAAAAUGACAAACAAUAUUUUCAAAAAUCUGUAUAAGUAUAUAAGAUGUAUAAAUAUGUAAGAAUGUCUUUAAUUGUCCAAAUGAUGUCUAUAAAUCUCAAGUUGUAUAUACAAUUAAAUGUGUAAUUUAUUGGUAAUGUUAGCUAAACAUAUUUUUAGUUUUGCUAAGUACAAAAAGGAACUGUGAUGUUAUUUUGAAUAAUGUGAUAAUAAAUAAGCAGAAAAUACAA
Molecule: unclassified non-coding RNA, 978 nt
Filed under: Megachile rotundata (alfalfa leafcutting bee)
Lineage: Eukaryota; Metazoa; Arthropoda; Insecta; Hymenoptera; Megachilidae
Description: histidine protein methyltransferase 1 homolog, transcript variant X5
Source: RNAcentral